CUGACAUACUGUCACAGGCUUUCCUACAAUACAGCCUCUAACAAAACUAGGCUGUCCCAAAUGCACCAACACCUGCAGUGGCGUGUGCCCAGGCUGACUUAGAGGGCUUCAUGCUGGGAGACCAGGAGUUCUUAUGAGGUUAUUCAAAACAAAACACAUGGCAUCGGGGCCUACAGUGGUUCCAUUUGUUUUGUGUUUGUGACCAGAUCAAACGUGCUUUCCUUAUUGAGAAGCAGAAAAUCAGUGUGAAAGUAUUAAAAGCACAAGCACAGAGUCAGAAAAUUAAA
Molecule: long non-coding RNA, 287 nt
Filed under: Homo sapiens (human)
Lineage: Eukaryota; Metazoa; Chordata; Mammalia; Primates; Hominidae
Description: non-protein coding lnc-PRDM10-2:1
Source: RNAcentral